This 1800-nucleotide long non-coding RNA is filed under the name Homo sapiens (human). RNAcentral's name for it is "HSALNT0028393". The record is from RNAcentral. Lineage: Eukaryota; Metazoa; Chordata; Mammalia; Primates; Hominidae.
GGCGGAGUUCGCAGCGUUUUUCUGUGGAAGACAACGCCCUCUCUCUUCAUCUGAGCUAAAAGGAAAAAUAAGUAACUUCUUUGUUCCCCGGUGACCUCGGGCACGCGGAUCUGAGGAGCACCGUGCAGUUGCUGCUCCUUCGAGAUCCCCUGCGAGGCCCUGGGCCUCAGUUCAAAAAGCUGUGGAAGGCCUGCGGGUGUAGGGGAAACGGCCGAGAGAGCAAAGGGGAAGAACCGGACGGGCCCUGCCCACAUCUGGCAGGCAGGAGAGAUGGUGCCAAACGACCUUCGCACCUGGGCCCUGAGACCAAAGAUGGCGUCGUCCUCCCCUGUCUUCCCUAGGCGGAAGGCAAGAACUUGGGUCGGCCUGAGCUGGGGACCAAGAAAAUAUCGGGAAGUGUCCAGUGUUCCUCUUUAAAAGAAUUAAACCUUCCUGGGCCACGCAGGGACUGACCGUGGGACCCUGGACUCUCCUCCACCUUCCACCGUGGAGCAGGCUCUGGAGCCGAGCAGCCUCCUGCGUCCCCAUCUCAUCCCCCCACUCCUCCUCACAGCACUAAAAGAUGAUGGCCUGCUUGUACCCCUGCUCCUGAGCACCUGUUUGACCUCAAAGAGCUCUCGCUUUUGGGGUGUCCGUCUCCCCAAGUCUGUCUAGGGGGCAGGAAGACCUUCAUCAGGGUUCUUGGGGGCCGAUGUGGGCUCGCUGAGUGCCUGAGUGAUGGAUGGUCUCACAGCACGGCACCACGGAGGUCCAGCCGAGCUCGAGGAGUCCCUGUGGAUUAAAAAUGCCCUUUUCGAAGGUUCUACCUCUACCAGAGGGUGGCUCCACAGAUCCCUUCAACCCAGUAUGGUGGAAAAAUAGGAAUUUUGGAAUCUUACCUUUCUCUACUGCUCACAACAGAGGAAACUGGGGUCAGGGAGGAUUUGAUGGAGUCUUUUCAUUUUUUAAAAGUCACUCACGGCCAAGCGUGAGCCACCGUGCCUGGCCCUUAUACUUGUCUUCUUGAGUGCAUGUGUGAGGCUUUCUCUAGAAGUAGAGCUCUGGAUUAUAGGUAUAAACAUCUUCAACUUUCUCAGGAAUUGUUGUAAGCAAUUGCUCUAAGCAAAUUGCUCUCCAAAGGGCUUAUAGUAAUUUACACUCCCAACAGCAGUUAUGAGCAUUUCCAUUUUUCUACAUCCUCCUAUGACUUGGUGUUGGGCCUUUUAUAUUUUGCCAGCUGAUGCAAGUAAAAUUAUAUCUUAUUGCUGUUUGAGUCUGACCAUCCUUCCCAUUAGGAAAUGUUUUGCUGAAGCCUUUAGUUGCCGACUGGUUGGGCAGACACUUCUGUUUACUUAUCACAUCUGUUUUCCUCUUUCUCAGUAAGAGAUUCCUUAAAUUUCAAUUGGGCUUAUGGCUAUUUAAAAUAAAGAUUACCUUUCCCUGCCUCUCUUACAGCCACGCGUAGCCACAUGAUUAGGGUCUUGCCAGUGGCACAUGAGCAGAAGUGGUACAUGCACUUUCAGAAAGGUGUCAAGCAUGCUCUCCUUCCCUUUUCUGUUUUCUCCUGGGCGGAAUACAGAUCUGAUGGCUGCCUCUGAAGCAGCCUUCUUGGACCAUGAAGUGAACAUGGGAACAGAGGCCAUCCACAGCAGAGGAACAAGUUAAAGGAAGCAUGGGUCCCUGCCCCAUGGAGUAUAGCGUCAUCCCUGGACUGCCCACGCAGACUUAUACAUGAUGGGAAAAUGUCUCUUUUUGUUUGUUUAGGACACUGUUUCUCUGAAUUUUCUCUCACUUGCCAGCAAUUCUAAUCCUAAAAAUACA